GAUGAACGCUGGCGGCGUGCCUAACACAUGCAAGUCGAGCGAAGCACCUUACUUGAUUUCUUCGGGAUGAAAGUAUUGUGACUGAGCGGCGACGGGUGAGUAACGCGUGGAUAACCUGCCUCAUACAGGGGGAUAACAGUUAGAAAUGACUGCUAAUACCGCAUAAGACCACAGCACCGCAUGGUGCAGGGGUAAAAACUCCGGUGGUAUGAGAUGGAUCCGCGUCUGAUUAGCUAGUUGGUAAGGUAACGGCUUACCAAGGCAACGAUCAGUAGCCGGUCUGAGAGGAUGAACGGCCACAUUGGGACUGAGAUACGGCCCAG
This 323-nucleotide ribosomal RNA is filed under the name uncultured bacterium. RNAcentral's name for it is "bacterial SSU rRNA". It matches the Rfam family "Bacterial small subunit ribosomal RNA", at positions 28 to 334 of the family's 1533-position model. The record is from RNAcentral.